CGGCUAACAAGCUCCAUCUUGUUUGAAGCUGAAGGACAAUUUCUUUAGAGUUAAAAGAAAAACAUUCUCGGGCAGAGAAAUUAUAAAUUUCAGAAGUUGCUGGAAGGAGAAGAAUGGAGAAGAGGACCAUCGUUUGGAAGUCCACAGGAAGGCGACCACUGGGCACCAUGCUAUGAUUGCACAGCCUUCUACAUGACUUAAAGAGCACAUUUGUGGAGUCUGGAGAUUUGUCUGUGGAUUUUACCUAGGAGGAGCAGCAGUACUCUGCUGAUGUUCAGAAAACGCUGUACAGGAAUAUCAUGCUGGACAGCAGUCACUUCUCCAGCUCUACCAAGCCAUGUGUAGGACCUGAGGACCACUCCUCUCCAGCUUCCUGCUUCUGCUGCCAUGCCUGACUCUUGCUGCCCUGCCUCCCUACGUGACGGACUCUUAUCCCUCUGGAACCAAAGGCUCAAAGAAACUCUUGGUUUUGUGAGUGACAUCUGGUCAUGGACUUGACUACAAGCAACAGCAGAAUAACCAGUACAGUCUGCUCUCAAGAACAGCAUCUGGAAGAAGUUACCAGUUGCCAGCAGGUGCUGAGCAAUGGAGAGACUAGGAUGGGACACCCUGGUCCCAAGGGAAGGAGAAAGGAAGCCAGUGGGAGGAGUAGGAGAAGAGCGAUCAGCAGGAGAGUACUUGGAAGCAUGAAGAGAGAUGAACCAGACCUAAGGUGCCCAUGGAAGCCAGAAGAGGACAUCAGAUCCCUCAGAACUGGAGUUACAGUUAUCCUCCUGGUGUGGUACCCAAUUUUUCUGAAGUGCACAUGGAUGCUCAGAAAGAUCUGUCACAUGUUUGAGAUGAAACUACAAAUCUAAAAGUUCUUAUGUUUUUGUAGGAGAGAACCUGCUGCGUGAGGGAAGAUUGGUUGCCCAAGCUUAAGCUUGAAU
This is a long non-coding RNA of Meriones unguiculatus (Mongolian gerbil), 929 nucleotides long. RefSeq lists it as uncharacterized. The transcript is spliced from 5 exons. The record is from RefSeq and is a predicted model, not a curated record. Lineage: Eukaryota; Metazoa; Chordata; Mammalia; Rodentia; Muridae.